UCUGCAAAGUUACAGCAAGCCUUAGCAAUAACAGAAGCACUUGGGGUAAUACGACAUGGUGUCAGAUACAGAUUACAAGAAGAAGCGAAAAUGGUUUAGCCUUAUACCAAUGGGGGCUUGCAUGGUGGACACGUAAAAUAUUACUGAAUUUAAAUCAUACUGGUCUAGAACCACAAGAGUUAGAAUUGCUGGGCUCCAAGCCAGGAAAUUAUUGUGUUGUUUUCGGAGACAUUUACAAUAACCCAGAACACAAGCGCCCAGUCAAUGACAGUGUAAUAGUAACCCCCUCUAAUGUUGAGGUCUAUAAUUACAGCAUGGGAAGCCCCUAUUGCCUAAACGGAGUAGACUUUAUUGAGACGCUUAACAAAUCCCCACGGCGUUUACCCCCUGCUACGUUUCUAGUCUGUGGAGAUAGGGCAUGGAACGGCAUUCCAGCUAGCCCAUGGGGAGGCCCCUGUUGGUUAGGCAAAUUGACUUUGUUCUCCCCACAACUAAGAGACCUGCAGAAUGUUACCCGAUCACCCAAACGACAAAAAAGGAGUAUAGCCAUGAUGAAUCAAAACUGCAACUCUCACAUAGUUUUGUGGAGUUCCCCUAUCCAAAUCUUAGCUUCUAUCUUUGCUCCUCAUGUUUCAGCAGCCCAUGCGUUGAAACAAAUAACACGGCUAGCAUGUUGGGCUGGGAAGCAAAUCAACAUCACCUCUGACAUUAUAGGGCAACUUACUCUUGAUGUUGAUUCUGUAAGACAUGCGGUACUACAGAAUCGAGCAGCUAUUGACUUUUUGCUUUUAGCGCAUGGACAUGGGUGUGCAGAAUUUGAAGGCAUGUGUUGUUUUAAUUUAUCUGAUCACUCUGCGUCAAUACAUAAGAAAUUACAACAGUUACAAGACGGCAUGCACGAUUUAAUGAUCAAUAGCAACCCUUUUGAUAGUUGGCUACGCUCUUGGGGAAUAGGAAACUGGCUACGCAAUAUAAUAAUAGCUUUAGCCGGUCCCUCUAUCAUUUUAUUGCUUUGCCUUUGCUGUGGACCUUGCUUAUUACAGUGUCUGUUGUCGCAAAUAUAUAAAGUGAUAGACAUGCUAUUUGAAAAAAGAGGGGGAGAUGUAGGGGGCCGGAGAUUGAGAACAGUUGAAAGUAUAUACAGUCGUGUAUAAGAUGAGAAGGUCAUG
Molecule: long non-coding RNA, 1169 nt
Filed under: Manacus vitellinus (golden-collared manakin)
Lineage: Eukaryota; Metazoa; Chordata; Aves; Passeriformes; Pipridae
Description: lncRNA (ENSMVIG00005007844.1)
Source: RNAcentral